CCUACGGGGCGCUGCAGUGGGGAAUAUUGGACAAUGGGCGAAAGCCUGAUCCAGCCAUGCCGCGUGUGUGAAGAAGGCCUUCGGGUUGUAAAGCACUUUCAGUGGGGAAGAAAGCCUUGGGGCUAAUACCCUCGAGGAAGGACAUCACCCACAGAAGAAGCACCGGCUAACUCCGUGCCAGCAGCCGCGGUAAUACGGAGGGUGCGAGCGUUAAUCGGAAUUACUGGGCGUAAAGCGCGCGUAGGCGGUCUGAUAAGCCGGUUGUGAAAGCCCCGGGCUCAACCUGGGAACGGCAUCCGGAACUGUCAGGCUAGAGUGCAGGAGAGGAAGGUAGAAUUCCCGGGGUAGCGGUGAAAUGCGUAGAGAUCGGGAGGAAUACCAGUGGCGAAGGCGGCCUUCUGGACUGACACUGACGCUGAGGUGCGAAAGCGUGGGUAGCAAACAGGAUUAGAUACCCCUGUAGU
This 464-nucleotide ribosomal RNA is filed under the name Vreelandella stevensii. Its description in RNAcentral is "partial 16S ribosomal RNA". It matches the Rfam family "Bacterial small subunit ribosomal RNA", at positions 338 to 794 of the family's 1533-position model. Lineage: Bacteria; Pseudomonadati; Pseudomonadota; Gammaproteobacteria; Oceanospirillales; Halomonadaceae. The record is from RNAcentral.